CUACGUGCGGCUGCAGUGGGGAAUAUUGGACAAUGGGCGCAAGCCUGAUCCAGCAAUGCCGCGUGAGUGAAGACGGCCUUAGGGUUGUAAAACUCUUUCGCUAGGGAAGAUAAUGACUGUACCUAGUAAAGAAGUCCCGGCUAACUCCGUGCCAGCAGCCGCGGUAAUACGGAGGGGACUAGCGUUGUUCGGAAUUACUGGGCGUAAAGAGUGCGUAGGCGGACUGACAAGGUAGGGGUGAAAUCCCAGGGCUCAACCCUGGAACUGCCUUUAAAACUGUCAGUCUAGAGACCGGAAGAGGUUAGGGGAAUACCUAGUGUAGAGGUGAAAUUCGUAGAUAUUAGGUGGAACACCAGUGGCGAAGGCGCCUAACUGGUCCGGUACUGACGCUGAGGAACGAAAGCGUGGGGAGCAAACAGGAUUAGAUACCCGCGUAGUC
This 439-nucleotide ribosomal RNA is filed under the name uncultured bacterium. RNAcentral describes it as "partial 16S ribosomal RNA". It matches the Rfam family "Bacterial small subunit ribosomal RNA", at positions 339 to 795 of the family's 1533-position model. The record is from RNAcentral.